GAACACUUGAUGCUAGUUGAGCUGUCAGUCUCCUAACCUUGAUAAUAGGCUUGUGAUAUCUAGGUUUUAUGCAAUAUUAAAACAUAAGUCAUGAGUGUUUGAAGCCCAGCUUGUAAAGGCCCAGUGAGUUAUAACUCACAGGCAUAAAA
Molecule: non-coding RNA, 149 nt
Organism: Suncus etruscus (white-toothed pygmy shrew)
Lineage: Eukaryota; Metazoa; Chordata; Mammalia; Eulipotyphla; Soricidae
Product: small Cajal body-specific RNA 1
Exons: 1
Source: RefSeq, a predicted model, not a curated record